RNAcentral lists this ribosomal RNA (900 nucleotides) under Triticum aestivum (bread wheat). Its description in RNAcentral is "partial small subunit ribosomal RNA". Lineage: Eukaryota; Viridiplantae; Streptophyta; Magnoliopsida; Poales; Poaceae. The record is from RNAcentral.
AUGGAAGCCCCGCUCCUCCUCCCCGUGUCCACCGCUGCCUCCUCCUCCACGUCCAUCACCGUCGAUGACCACAGCCACGGCGCGGCCGGCGCCUCUGUAUCACCGUCCCGCGCCUCGCCUUCCGGCCGGAGCAUCGCCGUGCGCUACCUGGCCGUGGCCCUCGUCGCCGCGGUCUCGCUGUUCGCGCAGCACGAGGCCUCCAAGGGCUUCCGCAUCAACGUCGUCCGGGGCGGUGGCACGGCCGGUGCCGCCGGCCGGCGCUUCGACCUCCUCUUCGUCGCCAACGGCCGCGCCGAGCGCGUGCUCCACCGCGCCAGCCGCCGCGUCGAGGACGCGCUCUUCCCGGACCCCUCGUUCCCGCGGCGCCUGGUCGCCCGCGUCACCGUGCGGUUGAUGGCCGGCGGCAAUCUCACCGCCGACGACGCGACCGUCGACGCUGUCACGGACGGGGAGUACGUCAUCUCGCUGAGCCCACGCCUCCUGUCGCCGUCCUCCGGAGGCGGCAGCGCCGGGGCCGCCGACGCCGUCGCCGCCGCGGUGCGCCGGGCCGUGGCGCGCAUGUGGCUGUGGGACGGCCGCGGCGCCGCGCCGGCGCGCGUCACGGAGGCCAUGGUGGAGUACCUCGCCACCGCCGUCCCGGACGAGUCGUCGUCGCCGGCGGAGGAGCACGCGUCGGCGUCGAACACGCAGUGCAUCUCGCCGCGGUUCCUGAAGCACCUGGAGCGGCGGCGCGCCGGGUUCGUGGCGCGGCUGAACAGGGCAAUGAGGGACCGGUGGAGCGACGCCGCGGUGGACGCCGCCCUCGGGGCGCCGGCACGGCCCGUCUGCGCCGGCUACCUCGCGGCGGCGACGGAAACCGGCGGCCAACGACCGGUGGUUGGGUCCGGGGUGGCGGUUUGA